This 479-nucleotide ribosomal RNA is filed under the name Caldanaerobacter subterraneus. RNAcentral's name for it is "partial 23S ribosomal RNA". It matches the Rfam family "Bacterial large subunit ribosomal RNA", at positions 1270 to 1754 of the family's 2925-position model. Lineage: Bacteria; Bacillati; Bacillota; Clostridia; Thermoanaerobacterales; Thermoanaerobacteraceae. The record is from RNAcentral.
GAGCUGGACUGCGCAGUAGAGAGAAUGCCGGCAUGAGUAGCGAGAGUAAGGUGAGAAACCUUACCGCCGGAAGCCUAAGGAUUCCUGGGGAAGGGUUGUCCACCCAGGGUAAGUCGGGGCCUAAGCCGAGGCCGGAAGGCGUAGGCGAUGGGAAACCGGUAGAGAAUCCGGUACCACCGAGGGCCGCAUGAGGGAAGUGGGGACGCAGCGAGGUAGGCGGAGCGCGCGGUUGGUAGAGCGCGUCCAACCAGUCACCGGAGGGCACGUAGGCAAAUCCGCGUGCUGGCAGGGGGCUGGGAAGGGGAGCCGGAAGGCGAAGCCGCUAAGAACGCUGCCAAGAAAAGCCGCUACCGAGGUCUGAGGUGCCCGUACCGCAAACCGACACAGGUAGGCGAGGAGAGAAUCCACAGGCGAGCGGGAGAACCCUCCUUAAGGAACUCGGCAAAAUGACUCCGUAACUUCGGGAGAAGGAGUGCCGA